AGAAUCAACGCUGGCGGCGUGCCUAACACAUGCAAGUCGCACGAGAAAGGGGCUUCGGCCCUGAGUAAAGUGGCGCACGGGUGAGUAACACGUGACUAACCUACCCUCGAGUGGGGAAUAACCUAGAGAAAUCUGGGCUAAUACCGCAUAACACUUACGAGUCAAAGCAGCAAUGCGCUUGAGGAGGGGGUCGCGGCAGAUUAGUUAGUUGGCAGGGUAAUGGCCUACCAAGACAAUGAUCUGUAUCCGGCCUGAGAGGGCGCACGGACACACUGGAACUGAAACACGGUCCAGACUCCUACGGGAGGCAGCAGUGGGGAAUUUUGCGCAAUGGGGGAAACCCUGACGCAGCAACGCCGCGUGGAGGAUGAAAUCCCUUGGGAUGUAAACUCCUUUCGAUAGGGAAGAUAAUGACGGUACCUAUAGAAGAAGCCCGGCUAACUUCGUGCCAGCAGCCGC
Molecule: ribosomal RNA, 459 nt
Filed under: uncultured bacterium
Lineage: Bacteria
Description: SSU rRNA
Rfam family: Bacterial small subunit ribosomal RNA
Source: RNAcentral